GGAAGGGUGGUCGAGCGGUUUAAGGCACCGGUCUUGAAAACCGGCGUGGCAGCAAUGCCACCGUGGGUUCGAAUCCCACCCCUUCCGCCA
RNAcentral lists this transfer RNA (90 nucleotides) under Rhodospirillales bacterium. RNAcentral's name for it is "tRNA-Ser". It matches the Rfam family "tRNA". Rfam says of the family: Transfer RNA (tRNA) molecules are approximately 80 nucleotides in length. Their secondary structure includes four short double-helical elements and three loops (D, anti-codon, and T loops). Further hydrogen bonds mediate the characteristic L-shaped molecular structure. tRNAs have two regions of fundamental functional importance: the anti-codon, which is responsible for specific mRNA codon recognition, and the 3' end, to which the tRNAs corresponding amino acid is attached (by aminoacyl-tRNA synthetases). tRNAs cope with the degeneracy of the genetic code in two manners: having more than one tRNA (with a specific anti-codon) for a particular amino acid; and 'wobble' base-pairing, i.e. permitting non-standard base-pairing at the 3rd anti-codon position. The record is from RNAcentral. RNAcentral also lists the same sequence under 1 other name. Lineage: Bacteria; Pseudomonadati; Pseudomonadota; Alphaproteobacteria; Rhodospirillales.